This 347-nucleotide small RNA is filed under the name Histoplasma capsulatum. Its description in RNAcentral is "hypothetical RNA". The record is from RNAcentral. Lineage: Eukaryota; Fungi; Ascomycota; Eurotiomycetes; Onygenales; Ajellomycetaceae. RNAcentral also lists the same sequence under 1 other name.
GUAACACUAGUAUAAAAAAUCCAUUUGACACAUUUGUCACUAUAGGCUGCUGUAGUUUGUCGUUAGACAGCUGUAGCCUGCCUUGAAUACUAGCAACUAAUCCGCUCUAUCACCUUUGACUGUCUUGUGACUGUUCAGAAUCUUUUUUGGCUGCGCACAUUCCGGUAUUGAAUUCUAUAUCAUAAUUUCGGCUUAUUAUUCUUCUGGGGCGUACGCCACCCCCUAUUAUCAAGGAUGGUGUAUGCUACCACACUAGUUAUUUUGUAUAAGAAGAGCUGCAAAGCUUAGAAGCUUUGAGAAGCUCAAGCAAUCUUUGAAUCAUAUCUGAUAGCAUGUCUAAACUGAAG